GAUGAACGCUGGCGGCGUGCCUAAUACAUGCAAGUCGAACGCUGGAAAUCUAGCUUGCUAGAUUGAAGGAGUGGCGAACGGGUGAGUAAUACAUAAGCAACCUACCCACGAAGACUGGGAUAAUCUCUGGAAACGGGGACUAAUACCGGAUAGGUAAUCGGAAGGCAUCUUCUGAUUAUUAAAGGUUAAAAACACUGGUGGAUGGGCUUAUGGCGCAUUAGUUAGUUGGUGAGGUAACGGCCCACCAAGACGAUGAUGCGUAGCCGGCCUGAGAGGGUGAACGGCCACAUUGGGACUGAGACACGGCCCAGACUCCUACGGGAGGCAGCAGUAGGGAAUUUUCGGCGAUGGGGGAAACCCUGACCGAGUAACGCCGCGUGAGUGAUGACGGCCUUCGGGUUGUAAAGCUCUGUUGUAAGGGAAGAACGGUAGAUAGAGAAUAUCUAAAUGACGGUACCUUACCAGAAAGCCACGGCUAACUACGUG
This 486-nucleotide ribosomal RNA is filed under the name uncultured bacterium. RNAcentral's name for it is "partial 16S ribosomal RNA". It matches the Rfam family "Bacterial small subunit ribosomal RNA", at positions 28 to 507 of the family's 1533-position model. The record is from RNAcentral.